Molecule: non-coding RNA, 109 nt
Filed under: Aneurinibacillus sp. XH2
Lineage: Bacteria; Bacillati; Bacillota; Bacilli; Caryophanales; Paenibacillaceae
Also listed under: 1 other name
Description: SAM riboswitch aptamer (S box leader)
Rfam family: SAM riboswitch aptamer (S box leader)
About the family: The SAM riboswitch is found upstream of a number of genes which code for proteins involved in methionine or cysteine biosynthesis in Gram-positive bacteria. The SAM riboswitch acts at the level of transcription termination control.
Source: Rfam by way of RNAcentral
CUCUUAUCAAGAGAGGUGGAGGGACUGGCCCGAUGAAACCCGGCAACCAUCAAACGCAAUGUUUGAACGGUGCUAAUGCCUGUGGAACGACUGUUCUAAACGAUGAGAG